Molecule: ribosomal RNA, 279 nt
Filed under: uncultured bacterium
Lineage: Bacteria
Description: partial 16S ribosomal RNA
Rfam family: Bacterial small subunit ribosomal RNA
Source: RNAcentral
UGCCAGCCGCCGCGGUAAUACGGAGGGGGGGAGCGUUGUUCGGAAUUAUUGGGCGUAAAGGGCGCGGAGGCGGUCUUGUCCGUCAGGUGUGAAAGCUCGGGGCUCAACCCCGGAAGUGCACUUGAAACAGAAAGACUUGAAUACGGUAGAGGAGAGAGGAAUUCCUGGUGUAGAGGUGAAAUUCGUAGAUAUCAGGAGGAACACCGAUGGCGAAGGCAUCUCUCUGGGCCGAUAGUGACGCUGAGGAGCGAAGGCGUGGGUAGCGAACGGGAUUAGAUA